AUGAGUUCGUUAAUCUGGAACUGCAGCGGGGGGGGGGACCGCCGGACAGUUCGUGAGGUGUUUGCCCUCUACAAAGCCAAUUCCCCGGGGCUUGUCUUCCUUUCAGAGACUCGACAAGCUUCUAGUAAGAUGGAGAAACUCAAGUGGAGACUAAGGAUGAAGGGUUUUGCUGGUGUGUCUAGCGAUGGUGUCAGUGGGGGCCUUGCACUAUAUUGGGAUGAGAAUCUUCAAGUCACAGUCCUGGACUCUUGUGCACGGUAUAUAGACGUGCGGAUUGUUGAUGGUGCAAAUGAUAAAUCUUGGAGGACAACUUAUGUAUAUGGAGAACCGCGGGUAGAAAAAAUCAUCACCGAAUGUGGAGUUUGCUUUCCAACCUAA
This 378-nucleotide ribosomal RNA is filed under the name Triticum aestivum (bread wheat). Its description in RNAcentral is "partial small subunit ribosomal RNA". Lineage: Eukaryota; Viridiplantae; Streptophyta; Magnoliopsida; Poales; Poaceae. The record is from RNAcentral.